CAGUAGCCGCGGGAAUACGUAGGGUGCAAGCGUUAAUCGGAAUUACUGGGCGUAAAGCGUGCGCAGGCGGUUGUGUAAGACAGGUGUGAAAUCCCCGGGCUUAACCUGGGAACUGCGCUUGUGACUGCACAGCUAGAGUAUGGCAGAGGGGGGUGGAAUUCCACGUGUAGCAGUGAAAUGCGUAGAGAUGUGGAGGAACACCGAUGGCGAAGGCAGCCCCCUGGGCCAAUACUGACGCUCAUGCACGAAAGCGUGGGGAGCAAACAGGAUUAGAUACCCGGGUAGUCCCUGUCUCUUAUAC
This 301-nucleotide ribosomal RNA is filed under the name uncultured bacterium. Its description in RNAcentral is "partial 16S ribosomal RNA". It matches the Rfam family "Bacterial small subunit ribosomal RNA", at positions 509 to 807 of the family's 1533-position model. The record is from RNAcentral.